This 440-nucleotide ribosomal RNA is filed under the name uncultured bacterium. RNAcentral describes it as "partial 16S ribosomal RNA". It matches the Rfam family "Bacterial small subunit ribosomal RNA", at positions 338 to 795 of the family's 1533-position model. The record is from RNAcentral.
CCUACGGGGUGCAGCAGUGGGGGAUAUUGCACAAUGGGGGAAACCCUGAUGCAGCGACGCCGCGUGGGUGAAGAAGCGCCUCGGCGCGUAAAGCCCUGUCAGCAGGGAAGAAAAUGACGGUACCUGAAGAAGAAGCCCCGGCUAACUACGUGCCAGCAGCCGCGGUAAUACGUAGGGGGCAAGCGUUAUCCGGAGUUACUGGGUGUAAAGGGGGCGCAGACGGCGAUGCAAGCCAGGAGUGAAAGCCCGGGGCCCAACCCCGGGACUGCUCUUGGAACUGCGUGGCUAGAGUGCAGGAGGGGCAGGCGGAAGUCCUGGUGUAGCGGUGAAAUGCGUAGAUAUCAGGAGGAACACCGGUGGCGAAGGCGGCCUGCUGGACUGCAACUGACGUUGAGGCCCGAAAGCGUGGGGAGCAAACAGGAUUAGAUACCCGAGUAGUC